CUAUGGACGGCAGAGUUGGGCGAAAGCCUGAUCCAGCCAUGCCGCGUGAGUGAUGAAGGCCCUAGGGUUGUAAAGCUCUUUCAACGGUGAAGAUAAUGACGGUAACCGUAGAAGAAGCCCCGGCUAACUUCGUGCCAGCAGCCGCGGUAAUACGAAGGGGGCUAGCGUUGUUCGGAAUUACUGGGCGUAAAGCGCACGUAGGCGGAUUGUUAAGUUAGGGGUGAAAUCCCAGGGCUCAACCCUGGAACUGCCUUUAAUACUGGCAAUCUCGAGUCCGAGAGAGGUGAGUGGAAUUCCGAGUGUAGAGGUGAAAUUCGUAGAUAUUCGGAGGAACACCAGUGGCGAAGGCGGCUCACUGGCUCGGUACUGACG
RNAcentral lists this ribosomal RNA (372 nucleotides) under Mesorhizobium loti. RNAcentral's name for it is "bacterial SSU rRNA". It matches the Rfam family "Bacterial small subunit ribosomal RNA", at positions 355 to 745 of the family's 1533-position model. Lineage: Bacteria; Pseudomonadati; Pseudomonadota; Alphaproteobacteria; Hyphomicrobiales; Phyllobacteriaceae. The record is from RNAcentral.